AAUGAAUGAUCUGAGGCUGACUGUUGAAAUCCAUAUCUCAGAAUAGCUAUAGAAAAUUUUUGCAUUCUACUGCCUUGAUGCCUGCUUCAAACCAUACAGAGAUUUAUGCAAUUUGCAAACCAGUCUUGAAUUUGCAGCGUGCUCCCCAUUGACAGAAUACCCUUAAGGUAAAUCCAUAUAUACCUCUUCUUCUAAAUCUCCAUUUAGAAAAGCAUUAUUUUUAUCCAGUUGAGACAGAUGCCAAUUACAUGUUGCUGCCAGUGCAAAGAAAAUUCUCACUGUUGUCUAUUUUGCUACAAGACUAAAUGUUUCCUAGUAAUCAAAUCCUGCUACCUAAUCAUAGCCUUUUGCAACUAGGCGUGCUUUGAAUCUUUCCACUUCACCAUUUGCAUUCAGUUUCACCUUAUAAACCCAUCUGCAGCUAAUGAUGUGACAAUUUGAAGGUAGAGGUACAAUAAUCCAUGUUUCAUUAUCCUUUAAAGCUUGCAAUUCAAGAGCCAUGGCUUCUCUCAAGUGAGAAUAAUUCACAGCCUGAUGAUAAGAAACAGGUUCCUGUAUAUGUGAUAGUGAGGUGGUAAAAGACUUGUGUGAGGGAGCAAGUUUUUGAGGUGAUAGGAAUUUGGCAAUUGGAUGGGAGGUAACAUGCUUGGUUGUUGGUGGCAAUUCUGUAUAGUAUGCUUCCAGAUACUUUGGUGCAUGUUUAACUUUUGUACUUUUUCAUGCAGGCACAAAGGUGUUUUCACUAGUAGUUUGUUCAGGUUGAUUUGUGCUGUCUACAGUGGGCAGACUACUUGAAGGUGAUGAAUCAGGUGAGACAUCAUUGGUAUUUGAAUUGGUAUGGUUUAAUUGAGGUGAUAUAGGUUCAGAUAGGUCAAAUUCAACUUGUUCGUGGUUUGGAAAUGGAAUUAUUGUAGGGUUAUGGUCAAAAUGAUAAAAAUAUGUGUCAUGCACAACAUGUGUUUGAUGAAAUGUAAAUGGCUGCUGAUCAUGCUCUUUAAUUCGAAAU
Molecule: long non-coding RNA, 1006 nt
Filed under: Theobroma cacao (cacao)
Lineage: Eukaryota; Viridiplantae; Streptophyta; Magnoliopsida; Malvales; Malvaceae
Description: long non-coding RNA (TCAC_LNC002764)
Source: RNAcentral